ACCAUUUAAAAAUACAUAAAUAUGUUAAUUUUCAAAUUUACAUUGAAAGAGUAUCGAGACCUUAAUAUUUUAAUUUUGACAUUUGCUUCGAAAAAUAUCACAUCGAAUUUUUUUGGAUUAAUGGUUUAAAUUUUUUGUUACAUCAAAUAUACAAAUGUUAAUAAAACCAUAUGAGUAAGAAGUCUCAAUAAUAAAUAUUUAUAUUAAAAUAUAUUAUAUAUUAAUGUCAAUAUCAUUGAAAUAUAAUUAUAUACUAUAUAAAAUAAUUAAAAUGAUUAUUUUGAUUUGUUUACCGUAAAUAUAUUGUAAAAAACAAGAGGUAUUAUGUUGAUUUAUGUUAUUACUCUAAUCUCUUAUAUCUUAAUUGAGAAGUGUAAGAUUUUAUUAAUUAGUAAUGUUCAAAAAUCUUACAAGAGAUCGAUACAACUAAGAUUUAUUUAGAAGCUAUUGAAAUCACCUAGCGAAAACAUGGAUUGAAUAACAAAUUCACUUUCCUAACCUAACCCACUUUCUAUUCGUCACAACACCGGCAGAGAAUAUUUGGAAGUAUCGAUUGACAAGCUGAAGUGGUUACUUUUUUAAGUUCAGCCCACUGUUUUCUUUAAAUGAGCCUAAAAUAGUUUUUAAUGAUUAACUAAAUGGACCACAUACAUAGCAAAAUUUAUUUUGAUUUAAAAGUUAUUGCAUACCCAAAAUCAAUAUGAACCAUCAUCAUUUUCGUUUAAAAUUUUGUCACAAUUAAAAUAUAGGGUUGAGCAAAAAAUUCGAAUAAAAAAAACAAAACCAAUCCAAAAAAUAGUAAUGAACUUUAACCAAAAUUGGUUAGGUAUCCGAAUGAGUUCAAAAUUUUUGUAUCUAGAAAACCGGAACCGAACCGAAAUAUUUCGGGUAUCCGAAUAUAUCCGAACCAGAUUUAUGUACUUAAAUAUAUUAAUUAUUUUUAAGUUUAAUAUGUAAAAGAAUAUACAAAAUAUAUAAGGUGUUUUUAAACUGUCCAAAAUACUUGGAAAUAUAUAAAAAUAGUUAUAAGUACAUGUUUAAAAUAGCUAAACCAAAUUUUACGUUAAGUUUAAGUAUUUUGGCAUACAUUAUUCAAAUUUAUAUGUUAUAAUAUUAUUUUUAUUUUUAUAUUUUAAAAAAUUUAAAGUAUAUAUGAACUUUAAUUUUUGAAAAAAAUUUAAAUAGGUUAUCCGAACCGAACCAAAUCCGCAAAGAUCCAAACCGAACCAAAUCCGCAUGGAUCCAAACUUAACCGAACUAAAUGGUACUCGAAUGUCCACCUCUAAUCAAAUGUAAAAUUGAUUUCAAAAAUAUAUAUUUAUCUAUCAAUCUAUUAUUACAAAACUUUCUUCUUGUCUUAUACUGCCACAUUAGUAAUUUGUUAAACCAGAGACAUGUGUCCAAUCCUCUAUACUCACCGUUUCAUUUAUUUUUUUCCCCAAAUGUGUUGGGCUUGGAUUCCUAUUUUGUCUGAGCGUACUGCUUUAUUAAGCCUGUACUGAUAGAAAGCGUAAUAUGGUGUGCUCGAAACGCGGCGUUUCUUAUUUUGUAGUUUCAUCGCAGCCGUAGGGGAUUCGAUCGAUUCUUCCUACCGAUCCAGCAAUCCAUCGGUUACGGAUUCAUUCCACAAACCCUUAACUGUUUAGACCCACUAAAACCAGGAUCACUCAUUCAAUCAUUCUUAUCCAAUCUUCCAAACUGUAGAUAAAGGUAAGGAUUCCUCUCUUGAGAAUCCUCACAGUUCCUAGCAAUUGAAUUUCUGUUUCCAUAGCGGCAGCUUCAGCCAUUAGUACUUAGUAGCGACGGAAGGAAAUCAGUUGGUGGGGGAGUUGGUUUCUGUAACCCCUUGUCAAUUGAACUCUUAAAUGAGACAAUGCCAGCCUUUACACCAAAGUCUGUUUUUGAUCAUUUGAGGAACAAUCGUGUGUGCUAUGACCGUGUAAAUGGCAAAGUGCGUAACACAUAAAUUACAUUUUAAAAGUUGACCACAAGUUUGUAUGUUUGCAGAGUCAACAUUUUUUCUCAGGACCUUCCAAGCAUGUUUUCACUUUGUAUUUGGAGAAAUGAACAUGUGGAAAACGUGUAUUCCUUAAUGCGCACAUACGGGACUUCUACUUUGACAAUGAAACCGGUGAUGGUCAUUUACACUUUUAUCAUAAAUGUAUACUCAAACAUGACACAUACCACAUGUUAUGUAAUUCUGAUCGUAAUUGCUUCCCAAGUUCUUCCAAGUAUAGAGGUGUCCAGAAAAUAGAAUCAGUAACGGUGUCCGAAGUUAAUUUGCCAGCAUAGGUCAGUAGCAGGUUUGGAGACCCCCUUGAGAGAGAUUUCCCACAAUGUCUCCAAGACAUUGUCAGCAGAAUCUACACAUUUUAGUUGAAGUUGUCCGAUUUCAAAAUCUCUUCAAAGCAUCAGACGUUCACCGUCUCUCAAAUCUUCCAUCGCCCCCACCUGUACCGAUACUGGCCCAGCUCAUGAAACACAUCAGCUUCCAACAACCACCUCACCUCUUCAGCCUGAUUUAGGCAGAGUCACAGUGGAGGAGACAAUGGUUCCACCAAAGGAGUCUACAGUUAUAAACGCACAUAAUACUUCACUUCUCAAGUUUCCACGAUUAUGACCCUAGUUUUUACUUGCAAGCUUUGAUAUCACCAACUAUCUUUUCAAAUUAUUUGCACAAUAAAGUUACAUUCUUUUUUGCUUAUUUGCUACUUUUUGUCAACUUGGUAAUGUUAUGCGACGACGUCCUCAUGUUGAGUUACGAUCAUGAAAAGCCACAAAAUCCUGGUCUUUGGAUUUUCUA
This is a long non-coding RNA of Brassica napus (rape), 2803 nucleotides long. RefSeq lists it as uncharacterized. Lineage: Eukaryota; Viridiplantae; Streptophyta; Magnoliopsida; Brassicales; Brassicaceae. The transcript has 2 exons. The record is from RefSeq and is a predicted model, not a curated record.